This is a small nuclear RNA of Onychomys torridus (southern grasshopper mouse), 102 nucleotides long. NCBI's taxonomy places the organism in Eukaryota, Metazoa, Chordata, Mammalia, Rodentia, Cricetidae. The record is from RefSeq and is a predicted model, not a curated record.
GUACUCACUUCAGCAGUAUAUACACUAAAAUUAGAACCACAGAGAUUAGUAUGGCACCUGCACAAGGAUGGCAUGGAAAUUAAUGAAUUGUUCUGUAGUUUU